This 485-nucleotide ribosomal RNA is filed under the name uncultured bacterium. Its description in RNAcentral is "bacterial SSU rRNA". It matches the Rfam family "Bacterial small subunit ribosomal RNA", at positions 38 to 529 of the family's 1533-position model. The record is from RNAcentral.
GGCGGCGUGCCUAACACAUGCAAGUCGAACGGGACCAGGGGCAACUCUGGUUCAGUGGCGGACGGGUGCGUAACACGUGAGGAACAUGACUUUCGGCGGGGGAUAGCCGGCCCAACGGCCGGGUAAUACCGCGUACGACCACAUGGGGACAUCCCCGCGUGGUGAAAGCAGCAAUGCACCGAAAGAGUGCCUCGCGGCCUAUCAGCUAGUUGGUGGGGUAACGGCUCACCAAGGCAACGACGGGUAGCUGGUCUGAGAGGAUGGCAGCCACAUUGGGACUGAGACACGGCCCAGACUCCUACGGGAGGCAGCAGUGGGGAAUAUUGCGCAAUGGGCGAAAGCCUGACGCAGCGACGCCGCGUGUGGGAUGACGGCCUUCGGGUUGUAAACCACUGUCGGGAGGGACGAAUGCGCCGCAAGGCGAGUGACGGUACCUCCAAAGGAAGCACCGGCUAACUCCGUGCCAGCAGCCGCGGUAAUACGGA